AGUGAGCGCUGGCGGUAGGCCUAACACAUGCAAGUCGAACGGCAGCACAGUAAGAGCUUGCUCUUACGGGUGGCGAGUGGCGGACGGGUGAGGAAUACAUCGGAAUCUACUUUUUCGUGGGGGAUAACGUAGGGAAACUUACGCUAAUACCGCAUACGACCUACGGGUGAAAGCAGGGGAUCUUCGGACCUUGCGCGAUUGAAUGAGCCGAUGUCGGAUUAGCUAGUUGGCGGGGUAAAGGCCCACCAAGGCGACGAUCCGUAGCUGGUCUGAGAGGAUGAUCAGCCACACUGGAACUGAGACACGGUCCAGGCUCCUACGGGAGGCAGCAGUGGGGAAUAGUGGACGAUGGGCGCAAGCCUGAUCCAGCCAUACCGCGUGGGUGAAGAAGGCCUUCGGGUUGUAAAGCCCUUUUGUUGGGAAAGAAAAGCAGCAGGUUAAUACCCCGCUGUUCUGACGGUACCCGAAGAAUAAGCACCGGCUAACUUCGUG
This 492-nucleotide ribosomal RNA is filed under the name uncultured bacterium. RNAcentral's name for it is "partial 16S ribosomal RNA". It matches the Rfam family "Bacterial small subunit ribosomal RNA", at positions 29 to 507 of the family's 1533-position model. The record is from RNAcentral.